GCAAGUAAAGGGGACCGCAAGGUAACCGGCAGACGAGAUAGUAACGCGUAGGAACGUACCCAGAAGUCGGGCACAGCUCGCCGAAAGGCGGGGUAAUUCCCGAUGGUGACGAAAGUCUAAAGAUUUAUCGCUUCUGGAGCGGCCUGCGUAAUAUCAGCUUGUUGGUGAGGUAAUGGCUCACCAAGGCUAUGACGUUUAGGGGGGCUGAGAGGCUGACCCCCAUCGAUGGAAUUGAGAUACGGUCCAUACUCCUACGGGAGGCUGCAGUCGAGAAUAUUCGACAAUGGGCGAAAGCCUGAUCGAGCGACACCGCGUGGUGGACGAAGUCCUUCGGGACGUAAACAUCUUUUAUGAGGGAGGAAGUUAUUGACGUUA
This 375-nucleotide ribosomal RNA is filed under the name uncultured soil bacterium. RNAcentral's name for it is "bacterial SSU rRNA". It matches the Rfam family "Bacterial small subunit ribosomal RNA", at positions 57 to 477 of the family's 1533-position model. The record is from RNAcentral.